AUUCUAUCUCUUCUUAUUAAGGAUAAAGAUGAGAAAGAAAGUAGUCCUGCUUCAUCAGAGGUUUAGUCCACGGGUAGUCCUGUGGAAUCAGAGGUUUAGUCCAGUAGUUUCGUAGUUAAGAGCUUCUUUGGAGCAAGAUCAGAGGAAGAGAUGGGCAAUUCCAUUCUUAAAGGAAAGAGAACUAGACUAGGGGAGGGAUGUUACUAGACCACCGAUUGCCCGCAUCCAGCUAAGAGGUGAGCUAGGUAGUUAGGGAAUGAAGCGGCGGAGUGAGAGACUACAACCGAUGCUGGGCAGACUGUUGCUAUUGGUAUUGAUUCUCUGUAUUGGUACUUGGACUGCAGCUAUGUAGUUAGAGAAUAGAGCCAGUGAGGCAGAGAAUGAGACCGGGUGAUCAAAGAAUAGAACUGGUGCCGGGCAGACUUAAGCUGGUUAACCUAAGAAUGCAACCCAUACCACUGAGACUUUCACCAAUGAAUCAAAGCCUGAUACUGAUGCUAAUGAUUCUCUGUAUUGCUACUCGGAAUGAGCUCCUGUAGCUAGGGCCUCUAACCACUUCAUCCAAGCCUUAGUUCAAAGAGACAGCCCUAUAGUAAGUUGGGGAGUUAUGAAAGUGUAGUUUAGAGUAGCUAGUGGAAUGAUUUGGUCAGUGAGCCCGGCCCUAUCGUUAACAGGAAAAAGAAGUAGGUUUGGGAAGUAGGAAGUAAGAGACAACCUCAUAAGUAGGAAUUACAGAGAAGCUGGAAUGGAACUCAGUUGGCAAGUAGGGAG
RNAcentral lists this long non-coding RNA (771 nucleotides) under Musa acuminata (dwarf banana). Its description in RNAcentral is "long non-coding RNA (MACU_LNC010117)". The record is from RNAcentral. Lineage: Eukaryota; Viridiplantae; Streptophyta; Magnoliopsida; Zingiberales; Musaceae.